Molecule: ribosomal RNA, 490 nt
Filed under: uncultured bacterium
Lineage: Bacteria
Description: partial 16S ribosomal RNA
Rfam family: Bacterial small subunit ribosomal RNA
Source: RNAcentral
AUUGAACGCUGGCGGCAGGCCUAACACAUGCAAGUCGAACGGUAACAGGAAGCAGCUUGCUGCUUUGCUGACGAGUGGCGGACGGGUGAGUAAUGUCUGGGAAACUGCCCGAUGGAGGGGGAUAACUACUGGAAACGGUAGCUAAUACCGCAUAACGUCGCAAGACCAAAGAGGGGGACCUUAGGGCCUCUUGCCAUCGGAUGUGCCCAGAUGGGAUUAGCUAGUAGGUGGGGUAACGGCUCACCUAGGCGACGAUCCCUAGCUGGUCUGAGAGGAUGACCAGCGAAACUGGAAAUGAGACACGGUCCCGACUUCUACGGAGGGCAGCAGGGGGGAAUAUGGCACAAUGGGCGGAAGCCUGAUGCAGCCAGGCCGCGGGUAUGAAGAAGGCCUUCGGGUUGUAAAGUACUUUCAGCGGGGAGGAAGGAAGAAAAGUUAAUACCUUUGGUUUGUGACGUUACCCGCAGAAAAAGCACCGGCUAACUCCGUG